This 542-nucleotide long non-coding RNA is filed under the name Mus musculus (house mouse). RNAcentral's name for it is "long non-coding RNA chr8:18634757-18635299". Lineage: Eukaryota; Metazoa; Chordata; Mammalia; Rodentia; Muridae. The record is from RNAcentral.
GUGUGACUAAGUUUGACUCUGAUGGAAAUAUUCUGUAAAUUAUCACGUCACUACCACAAGACAACAUGGGCUCCUAAGACAUGAAAACCCCUCUCUAGCCUAAAUCUAAGCACUUUUUUAUACUUAGUAACAUUAAGAAGACUCACGAAUAUUUUAUAUUGUCCACUAUCAGCCCAAUCUGGAUUUGGGACAAUCAACUCUUUGGAGAUCCAUCCUAGAUACAACCAUAAAUCCUUGGGCUGAAACGGAAAUUCCAUACUUGCCCCAAAUAGAGCCAGGAAGGCUGCUCUGAGCAUCAGCUACACAGACCCUCUAUCCUUCUUGUUGACAUGAAGGGCUAUUCAGUGCCAUUCCACCCCACUUAAGCUUGCUGACUCUAAGAUAGUGUGCAAUGAGGCUUCUAAAGAAAGCAACCAAGAAGUCAGUGGCUGAUCUUGAAACAGUGGGGUAUAAUCAUUAACUCUUCACAUUUUUAUUCAAUACUUUUAUGAACAAUUUAACAAGAAGUUUCCUUUGUUAGAAAGAAUAAACCUUUCCACCUC